Molecule: ribosomal RNA, 449 nt
Filed under: uncultured bacterium
Lineage: Bacteria
Description: partial 16S ribosomal RNA
Rfam family: Bacterial small subunit ribosomal RNA
Source: RNAcentral
AACGAACGCUGGCGGCAUGCCUAACACAUGCAAGUCGAACGAGACCUUCGGGUCUAGAGGCGCACGGGUGCGUAACGCGUGGGAAUCUGCCCUUGGGUUCGGAAUAACAGUUGGAAACGACUGCUAAUACCGGAUGAUGACGUAAGUCCAAAGAUUUAUCGCCCAGGGAUGAGCCCGCGUAGGAUUAGCUAGUUGGUGGGGUAAAGGCCUACCAAGGCGACGAUCCUUAGCUGGUCUGAGAGGAUGAUCAGCCACACUGGGACUGAUACACGGCCCAGACUCCUACGGGAGGCAGCAGUGGGGAAUAUUGGACAAUGGGCGAAAGCCUGAUCCAGCAAUGCCGCGUGAGUGAUGAAGGCCUUAGGGUUGUAAAGCUCUUUUACCCGGGAUGAUGAUGACAGUACCGGGAGAAUAAGCCCCGGCUAACUCCAUGCCAGCCGCCGCCGUAA